RNAcentral lists this ribosomal RNA (253 nucleotides) under uncultured bacterium. RNAcentral describes it as "partial 16S ribosomal RNA". It matches the Rfam family "Bacterial small subunit ribosomal RNA", at positions 524 to 776 of the family's 1533-position model. The record is from RNAcentral.
UACGGAGGGUGCAAGCGUUAAUCGGAAUUACUGGGCGCAAAGCGUGCGCAGGCGGUUUGUUAAGUCUGCUGUGAAAUCCCCGAGCUCAACUUGGGAAUUGCAGUGGAUACUGGCAGGCUGGAGUAUGGUAGAGGAAGGUGGAAUUCCCGGUGUAGCAGUGAAAUGCGUAGAGAUCGGGAGGAACACCAGUGGCGAAGGCGGCCUUCUGGACCAAUACUGACGCUCAUGCACGAAAGCGUGGGGAGCAAACAGG